GACGAACGCUGGCGGCGUGCUUAACACAUGCAAGUCGAGGGCACCCCUCACGGGGUGGACCGGCGAACGGGUGCGUAACACGUGAGCGACCUUCCGUCUUCUGGGGGAGUAGCCGGCCCAACGGCCGGGUAAUACCGCAUACGCUCUUUUGGUUGCAUGACCGAGAGAGGAAACGUUCCGGGGAGGACGAGGGGCGUCGCGGCCUAUCAGCUAGGUUGGGGGGUACGGGACC
RNAcentral lists this ribosomal RNA (232 nucleotides) under uncultured bacterium. RNAcentral's name for it is "partial 16S ribosomal RNA". It matches the Rfam family "Bacterial small subunit ribosomal RNA", at positions 28 to 266 of the family's 1533-position model. The record is from RNAcentral.